CCGCGCCCUCCCCGUCGCCGUCGUCGGCCAUCCGGCUGCCCGCGCGCGGGGGGCUACGCGGCGGCCAUCGCGACACCCUUUAUGGUCGAGAAGGGAGUGAGGGGAGACGGGGUCGAGGUCAAUGGUGACGACGGCGACGUACGACAGUGGGUUUGGGAUGGGUUGGGGGUGGCGGGCGGGGCAAGGGGUGGCGCGGCGGAUCGUCGGAGAGAGGAUCCCGUGGUGGAGGACGGCGUGGAUAAGGUGAGCUCGAGG
Molecule: long non-coding RNA, 255 nt
Filed under: Hordeum vulgare
Lineage: Eukaryota; Viridiplantae; Streptophyta; Magnoliopsida; Poales; Poaceae
Description: long non-coding RNA (HVUL_LNC013511)
Source: RNAcentral